RNAcentral lists this long non-coding RNA (3425 nucleotides) under Sus scrofa (pig). RNAcentral describes it as "lncRNA (ENSSSCG00000052199.1, ENSSSCG00105021857.1)". The record is from RNAcentral. Lineage: Eukaryota; Metazoa; Chordata; Mammalia; Artiodactyla; Suidae.
AUAUUGCCACAAGAUCUCUUUGUUCACAUUACCUUGCGUACAUAAGCAUUGCCUUCCACACCCAAAUAUCAUUGCACAAGUCCUUGCUUUUUGGCAUGUGGAAACUUCUUUUUAAUUUAUUGGUUCUUAAAAAAUAUAUGAUACUCUUUAGAAUUUGAUGAAAACCUUUAGCUCUCUCUCCUGGAAAAUACAUCUAUUUAUCGAAUAACACUAGGUUAAGACCUUUGUUCUAGUACGAUGAUAGUAUAAAAACUUCUUCACACCCCUCACUUCAUAGGAAAUUUGUUUUUAAUAAAGUUAUAUAUAAAGUGAAAUUUACUUUUUCCCACAAACUUGAAAUUUUAGAUGUGCCUCUAAGAUAGCAGCUUAAACGAGUAGAAUAUGGAAACAGUGUGGCGGAAAGUAAAACACGGGGCAAUCGUCUACUAUGAUUGAUAGUUUCAACCUUUGGGGGUAGUUGAGUCAGUGACAGUGGGGUUGAUUUCCAAAUUUGAUGGUUGGGACCUGGGUUGUAAGGCUCAAGCAUUUCUGGUGGUCUGCUGAAAACAUUUGCCAUAGUGAUAAACAGAUAAAUGGGUCACAAGAUUUUGAGGACUGUGGUCAGAAAUGGGAAAGAGGAAAGGAAUAUUUAGAACUAGGAAAAGCCCAUGACUUGGAAAUGGUCCUAUUGGCCAAACCAUGCUGAAGACUGCUUCAGAGAUAGGUCUGUUUGAAAAGAGAAACUAGGACUUUCCCAUCUGGUCUGACUGAAACUAAAGGAAUUCUCCCCAUGAUGAAUAAAUAUAUCAGCUAUGACAGAACUGUAGCAUUUACCAGGGUAAUCCAGAAUUUAGAUUUUACUGAAUUCGUAAAGACAAAAUUCUUAGGAAUUACAUUACCUUAAGCACAACCAUAGAACUCUUGAGUCUUUAUUAGAAAUUAUGCCAAUGUUUUUCUUGUAUGAGUCUCUUAGAAUGGAUCACUGCAUAUUAUUUUGCUAUAUCCUGGCAACGAUUUAUAGACAGGAAGUACUUGUAAAUAGUUUUCUGCCCCAGGAUCUUUGCACAUGUGCUUUCCUCUGCACUUUGCUUUUCUGAUAUUUUUAUGACCCCAUCCCUCAUUUCAUUGGGUUUUUUUCAGUUAAAUGACAUGCUGUGAGCUACCUCUAAUCAUCCUAUUUAAAUUGCAAUCUUUUUCUAAAUUCCUUAUUCCUUUGCCUUGCUUAAUUUUUCUCAUUAUUUAUCAUGAGCAACAUUGGCAAUAUCCUUCUUAUAUUUUAUAUUUAUUUUCUGUCUCCUCCAAUAUAAUGUAACUUCUGGGGUGGAAGAGUAUAUCUUCCUUGUCCACUGCUGUCUUGAUCAUCUGGAACUAGGCACAGAGGAGGCACUGAUAAAUAUUUAUUUAAUGAAUAGAUGACUAAUGGGAAAAUAGGUAAUUUAUUUUACCCAUCCAACAACAUUUAUGCAGUACUUUCUACAUGCAGGUAGCCAUAGUUGUCACUUGGUAUAUGACAGAGAAGAAAGACAUGAUCUCUGGUCUGAAGGAGCUUACAGUUUAUCCAAGAAGAUAAGCCCAUACAUUAAAAAAAAAAAGAGCAAUGAUAUAAAUGAUAUAAACUACCAGACACUGCAGAAGAGAGCUCUGUUAACUCUUCCUGGCAUAGAGAGGUGCUGCUGAGGGGUUGAUCUUUGAGCUGUAUUCUUAAGGAUGAAGUAGGAAUUCACCAGGACAAAAAAAUUUGCAAAAGGAAAAUGAGUGUCAUUUAGUGUGCAGGGGUGUGUGGUUAUAGUCAAAGGGCCUGCUGUUGGGGUGGUGUUUUCAGGCAUGUGAAUGCAAAUGGAAAAAGAGAAUGACCAUCAGCCCUUUGACACUCAGCAUCUCUGAAGAGCACCCUUGGCUAGCAGCAAGGACUGCUCAAGACAGUAUUUCUAUCUGUGUGGUCUUCUUCGCCUCUUAGCCAGCAUUAUGCUUUUGCUCAAAAAGAGCCACCUCAUUCUCUGAUUGUUUUAUGCCAAGUUGGUGUGUUGCCUGUGAUUGUUUCCCAGCAUUCCACAGCUUGAAGUUUGCUUUAGUAUAUCCUUAUGGUGUUUCUUAUGCCUGCCCUGCUUGCAGGCUACAUAUGUUGUACCAUUUUACACUUGGAGACCUUCCAAAAUGUGUGAGAGAGAAUGAGACCAAAGUGGUUGCCUUUAACCAUAAGCGGGUAGACAGGCAAAGAAUCCUGGAUUCCCCGAAUCAGUUGAAACAUACUUGGGAAGUCAACUAGCCAAUUCUCUGGACUCCUGGCAGAACUGUAGGAAAGCCAGUCCAGGAAUACUGCUAACAUUUACGCAUACAUGACUAGAUGAACUUUUAGAUUGAUUCUAAGUAACAACUGACUAUUGAAAAUUGAACAUGGAGUAUACAACCUUAACUGCUUACAAGUUUGCAUUUUUGGUAAUAAAUUUAUUCAUGCAAAUGCAUUAUGACAUUAAGAAAUAAACCAAGUUAAUAACGGCCUUCUAUUUCUUGGCAUAAGUUAAGAAAUUAAAACAUGGUUUUUGGGAGGAAUUCAUUUUUGAGAGCUCUAUUAUUGAAAUGGAAUUCUUUUAUCUUCAUGUUGACACUGACUUUUCAGUGAUACAAAUGGUACUGGUUGGAAGGCAAUCUUUUGCAAGGUAAUCAAUUCACCUCUGUAAUUGGGGCCUUAUACAGUCUACAGACUUAAGAAGGAUCCCUCACAAGGCGUACAGAAUAUAGUAAUGGCAAAAAAUAAGAAUUAUUGGAAACUGAUAAACACAGAGAUCACUUAAGAAAUAUGGCAGAUAUAAUAACACACUAUGAAGGUACAAGACAGGAUCCAGCUCUUCAAAGAGUUGUUUUACUAACUGGGGAGACUGCAUAUACACACCUGAAAAGGGUACAUGGUGCCUGCUGAAUAUUCUGAACAAGCCCUGGGAUAACAUUGUGGCUAAGCAUUCUGGAUAGUCAUGUCAUUGGCAAGUACACCAGAAAGUUGGAGGUUGGAGAAAUUGCUGUGGGUUGAAGGGACAGAUGAGGUACUCAGGAUGGACGUGAACCAGAAAGGGCUUGAAUGGUAGGCUUUGCAUGGAUAUAGAGAGAUAGAAAAAUAGCAAAGAUAGCUUGGAUUAGGAAAUGAAACAAAACAAAGCACAUGAGUAAAUGUGUAAAAUGGUCAAGAAGAGAGCAUAUGUAGUCAAACCGGAAAAUCCAAUUUGGGCAUUCCCACUGUGGCUAGCAGUAAUGAACCCAACUGGUAUUGUGAGGAUGCAGGUUUAAUCCUGGGCCUCGCUCAGUAGAUUAAGCAUCCAGUGUUGCCGUGAGCUGUGGUCACAGACAUGGCUCAGAUCUGGCAUUGCUAUAACUGUGUCCUAGGCUGGCAACUGCAGCUUUGAUUCGACCCCUAGCCUGGGAACCUCCAUAUGCCCAGGUGCAGCCCUAAAAUG